GAGAUCUGCUCUGCAGCUGAGGGGAGAGGGAGGAUCACCCUGUGGGUCAUUAGGUGCCAAAAUGUGUGGGACAACCUGGCCACAUGGAAAGGUGCAAUGGUUGCUCUGCCGCUAUUGCACCUUCAGCUUCUGGGGGAUGGGAGCUCAGGUCUGGCUGCUCCCUCCAUGUUGAGAGUACUUCUUGCUAAACCAGGGGAGCUUUGUUGGUAUUCCCCUUUGGGGAGGAGCUGUGGUUUGGCAGUGUGUGCUUCAAUUAGUGCAGAGCUGGAGGAUUCAGCCACAACCCAUCCUAUCUGGAGAGCACAGUCCUUCGGACUGUAAUUCAGUAAUGAAGAUGACUAAGAAUUAAUAGUUUUAAAUGGUGUCCAUACCCUACUUAAUGCUGGGAUGCAUGUGUUUCCCCCAGCUCCUGCAGGCACAUGCAGGCAUGCUACAGAGGGGUUACUGGCUGUAGCAAGAUUAUGAUCUCAAUUAGUCAUAGAUGAGACACCAGUGAAGAGUGGGGGAAGUUGUGGGAUGGAGGAGAGCGUACUGGGGAGCUGUGUAACAACCAGGCAUGUCCAUGUCCUUCAGCUCCUUCUCUUGGCUGUUCCCCACAUCCAGGCUGUCAGAUGAAGGUUCUCCCACACCUCCAGCAAGCAUCGCAGAGCAGCUGGGGAAGGGGCUGGAGCUCACAGGCUGCAGAUCUGUCUGGUCGCCAUGUUAAAUCCCCCUGAGAGAUGGAACAGGGGAGCUGGCAGCAUCUUCUGGCCUUUGUGCAAAGGAAUAAUGGGAGAAAGAAGGUCACAUCCACUCCUAAAGGAACGUGGAGAAUGCAGUGGAGAGCUCUGUUUAUUGCAGGAGAGAUUUUUCUUUGCGCUGGAAAUGAAGCAGAAGGUGAUUAAUUUGGCAGCAGAAGUGAAAGUUUAACUUAAUUCCCAGGGAAGUUCACUGUUUCUCUGCAAAGCGGCUCAGUUUUUAACAUCACAGUCCUUAUAAUGAGCAGUGCAGCUUCCUGCUGGCAGGCAGACUUUGGGAGCAGAGUUGUGAGGCAGAGUUGAGCCUUUUUCCAGAUAGGCUUGAAGGAUUCCCUCUUCAAAUCUUUAGGUUUAGGUAGAAAGAUCCAUUUUAACUGUUAGUGUACAACAAGAAGUAAAACACGCAUCCUGCUCCUGUCAAUAGGAACUUUGGAGUGUGUAAAGCCAGGAUUUCACCCUGUGUUCCUUGGGAUCUGUCAGACUGAUUACAGCAAAAAUACAUAUCUAGAAUUGGGCACUGGAAAGCAUGUGACCACUUGACUGCAAAAUUAACAAAGAGAUGCAGGUAAAAGAAAUGAAAUAUGAGAAGCCCCCCAAAAACUCGUUUCAGUUUAGGAGGACAGAAAUGGAAGUGGUGAGAAAUCUACUGGAAAACGAUGCUCUUGUCCCUGCCCUGUGCAGAAUUGUUCCUCUGCAAUAUGUUCUCCAGGUCUUUGUCUAGACAUUGUGUGUCUGGAGAGAUGUUUGUCUUCAUGAUGUAUCCAAACAGCAUGUCUGAGUGCUCAGAUGGAUAUUUUGUCAAUAUUUCAAGCUACCAAAGUUUAUCUAUAACUAAGGGCGAGUUUAGAACUCAGCAUUAUUUCCAGUCCCACAGAGCUUCAGCAUUUCAACAAAUAUAGCAUUUUCCUCAGCAGAAGGCAAUGUCUGUCCUCCCUCCCACACUCCACCCUCUUCCCCCUGAUGUGUUGGAAUACGGAAGUAUAGGAGGGAUGACAUUGGUUUGCUAAAUGGAAUACACCUCUGGAGUUAACAGCGACUUCAGCCCUCUUUUCCUUCUCUGUUAGCCCAGGACAGCACCCCAGCGAGGACAGUGACAGCCUGGUGAGAGCUGCAGUGUAGCACUGCGUGUAUUUGACAAGCUGAGUUUGACACUCAGUCUGGCAGAGUGUCAGUUUGUCAAAUACCCCAAGUGAGGCACUUGCUGAGCAACACGGCCGCGCACCGAGGGGAUGGACUCCUUCACACGCUCCUCUCUAAAAGCCUAAUGAGGGACUUCCACAUCAGUGUCCAGCCUAAUGACAUCUUCACAGUGGCUGAAACAAAGAGACAUUCAUAAGAAUGAGGACUAAGUCCCCCUUUAAAGCUGCUACCUCACUCCACCUCCUCAACAUAACAGGGGGAAGGACAAGUUCUUGAAUUAAGAUGGAGUCACUUUAAUGACAAUAGCAAAAGCCAUAUGUAGAAGCGAUCAAAAAGAAGUAGGGAGAUUAAUUUCCUACUUCCCAUCAGCAGGCAAUGCCCAGGCACUGCCUGGGAAUCAGAGCCUCAGUACAUGUGAUGGUUGCUUCCAAAGGCAACUGAUGUAACCAGAAACACCUCUCCCUACUCCUCCCACAUCUCUCAGCCUUAUUGCUGAGCUGGGUGUUAAAUGGCGUGAAAAAUCCUUGUGGUCGGGAUAGGUCAGCCAUCCUGGCUAUGUCCCACCCUGACCUGCUUGUCCCCAUGGGUUGGACAGAGAGCCUUGGUGCUGCACAAGUGCUCAGCAAUAGCCAAAUCCCUGGGAGUUACUGACACUGUUUUAGGCACAAAUGUAAAGCAGUGUUAGGGCUGUUAUGAGGAAUGUUAACUCUGUCCCAGCCAGAUAAAAGAAAUUUGACUUUUCACUAAGCAAAAAGGCUUUUCUGAAACAAAUAACAGUAUGAUGCCCUCAAAAGUCUUCUCAACAUAAUAGGUGAAAAAUUAUACUUACAAAGAAACUUCAUAGAUGGGUUCUGAAAAAAAGGAAGAAUUGAACAUAUGCAUCAGUACAUUUUAUGACUAAUGUGCCCCAGGAAUAAAAAUAAAAAGGGAAGAAAGCAAGCAAAACCAACAAAGAAACCACAACUGCUCCCAGGUACUCCCACUUUCAGGAAUCACUCUCCACUCUGUUGCUCCUUAGGGGACACCAACUGGGACAGAGCAAUGGGACUGUGGGGAUAGAAAUGGGGCUGGGGAGAACACAGUGCUGCCCUACCCUGCCUGCCCACCCCUAUUAGAAAAUGCUAUUCUGAAUGUCUUUAACAAUAAUAAUAAAGUUAGCAUGCUCUUAUGUGUUCAAGCAUUCAAUAAACAUAUUCUGUGUUUGUUAAUUAAAAAGGAAAUGCCUUUCUCACUCUUUCACCACCUAUUGUGAUUUGUGUGUGCUUUGGUCAAGUAUCUUCACAAUUCAGCUACCAGAGCUGUCAAACAUAGCUGUGAGGACAGUACCAACCCCAGCCCACAAAGCUCUCAAAGCUAAACCAGGGCAGGGAUUCAAGCUCCCCACAACAGCUUACUCACCAUUUUUGGACUUUCUAGCACAAGCAAUAGCAAAAAUGACAAAGAAAACCACAGCGCCGCCCAACACAGCAAUCAGGAUGAACAGGUACAGGUGACUCCUGCGGGAACCUAGAGCAAUAUGGCAUGAGACUUUCAAACAGAGAAUCCCUCCCAGGCUGCAACAGCACUUACAUGGUGCUGACCAUGUCCUGUAGGCCCAGCCAGCCCCUGAGCUCUUCAUGCAGCUGUGUGCUACUUGUCCAUGUCCCUGCAACUCCCCCUGUAACAUCAUCUUGCCCUUUUAACCCCACAUAGGUGUGUUUGUGUAAGCCAGAGCCUCCUGCUGAGUGCUGGGGCUGUAGCUGUGAGCUAGGCAGAAGCAUGAAGUGCAUGUCAUGGAAGAAAGGCUGGUGCCCUCACCACGUUUGUUCAAGCAUGCUAUCCAAUUGUAUCUGGAGCAUGUUCAAACCUACCAUGGCACUGCAAACCUAGAUAAGGUAGAGAAAGUCAGCUUGAGUUGCACACAGUCCUUUUUGUUGCUCCAGCAUUGAGACCAGAAUGAACUACUGGUCAGGAGCACUGCAAGAAGCCUGGAUGUUCUGGUUAUGGAACUUAUUUCUUUUUUCCUUACAAGUACCUGGUUUAUUUUAAGAGCUCCUAUAGAAAAGCUGGUAAAACCACUUAUAGCCAAAAUACAGUAAAUGAACCUUGGAAUGGAAGAUACUGAGCAGUCAGUUCCGAGUUACACUAAUGUCUCUACUUACUCUGAGUUGUUUCAUCUGUUUCUGGGUAUCCCACAGCAUUCUCAGAAGUCACUGCUGCUUCAGGCAGAUCUACAAAGCAAACAAGAAUGAAAAGCAUGCAGUGCAAUUCCUAUCUGCCUUUUCUAGGCCAUGAAAACAGAUAAGCUCUGGAAACAAGCAACCCCUUCCCUUAACUUAUAUCUGCUAAAGCUGAUUUACGUGACCUGCUACAGUGGGGCACAAUCAAUUCAGAUGAAAUGAAUGACCUCAAUGUUAAAGUUUCUACAAGAGAAUCUACUCUAGCCCAGGUCUGAGUUCCCACAACCCACAGAGAUGAACAGGCAACUGCACGUUCUUCCUCAGAGGAGAUAGCAAGGAAAGCAACUGCUUUACAGUGGCUAUUGUCUCAUUUGUAUCUACUGUUUCUGUUCAGUCCUUUCUAAGGGGAGUCUGAGGUGGCUUGCCUAAUAGUAGAUAUCAAUAUAAACUUCCCCCUCCACUGGGCUGGUUUUAUUUGGGCAUCAUUGAAUUUGUGUUCCCGCUAAGAGAUUGCUGUAAGGAACCGCAAUGGCAGUACACAGUCUGCAUGGGCUCUUGGGAAAGAUUUCAAGCACUACACCACCUUGUUGUCUUGGUAACUUUUGGACUGACUUAAGCAUCCUCCCAAGAGCACUGUUAUCACUGCGAAACACUGGAUCAGCUCCCUCCACCCAACCCCUCGCCCUGGCCACACAUUGCUCCCUGCUGACCUGUGGCUGGGCGGUGUGCCUCCGUCGCUACAGACAGAUCUGCAAGUGAAACAGGGCAGGAAGGCUCAGUGUGUGCCAGCAGGACCUCAGCACUCCCUUAGCCACUCCCAGCAGCCUGGCAUGCUUCUCCAUAGGCACUACAGCAUUGGCUUCACUCUGCCAGCAUGGCCUUCCAGGCAACACGAGGUGUGCUGAGGGCUGAACCAGGCUCCCUCCUGCUCAGCCACGCCGUCAGGGGCUGGGUGCCAUCUCCUGGGCCCUGCCUGACCUGCUGUCUUCUGAAGCAGACAGGAUGCAAUCCACAUUUGACAUUAUGCACCCAAACCCUGCAUAGAAGGAAAUCUUUCCCCCACUGUGGCUUCCUUGAUGAAGGGCUGAGGGCUGGGACUCACCUCUCACUGUCAGCUCAACAGUGUCGCUGCGACGCACCACCCCUGUGCUGACCCUGUUCUGCACCUCGCAGUAGUACAUCCCCGCAUCGGAGGGCUGCAGGCUGUUCCACACCAGCUCAGCCUCACUGCCUAGGAGCUGCCCAUUCCUGCCUGGUGCCACCCGGAACCAGUGGUAGCUGAUGGGGGGGGAACCUUGGGCCACGCAGGUCAGUCUGGCCUUGGCUCCCGCUGGCACCACCAGCCCCAGCUCUCCAGCCACGAUAAUGGGCUUGGUCACAACCUCUGCAAGACAAAACAGGUGAGCCCGGAUCACGGUGUCUGUGGCAGAGGAAGGUUUCCCUCACAUUGCAACAACUCCCAUCCUUACAGUCCUUUCCCAGGACAUCACCUCCCUGCUGUGUUGUGCUCUGUGCAGCUGUGCCUAUGGAUAGAUCUGUACCAGCUGUGUCACCUAUUGCCACUGCUGCAUCACAGCAGCCUGCUCUGCUGAGUUGUUACCUUUCCCAAUUCUGCCACAAGGCCCCUCUGAUGAAAUAAUGUUUUUUUAAUACAUACUGAGGGUGCCUGGAGAGGAGUGAAGACACAUCUGGCCAGCAUGACUCCCUUGUACUACAAAGAGCCAGGGACACUGGGUAUCUGCACAGAACUAGACCCAGUCCUGGGCACUAGGUCUACCCCUAGAUCUGUAGCCCACUGGCAGAUCCAGAUCAGGUGCAGUCUCACUUCCUGAAUCUACAGAACUGAGCACAAAGCUCUUCCCAUCUGGGUGCCUCAACACCUGGCUUGGAUGUGGGUAGGCAGAAUGGAAUGAACUGCCUCUUCUCCAAAUUGUUCUGCUUUUUAUACAACAGCAGGGCUUUAUUGCUGGAUUUACCUUUGGCAACUUUAAAUGUAGUGGUCACCUCCUUUGUUAUCAAGCUGUAGUUUUCAGACCUCCAGAUGAUUUGACAGGUGUAGUGUCCACUGUCAGGAAUUUCAAGGUCUGUGAUAUGGAGUGAAGCAUCCCCCGGGCUGCUCUUUGGGACACUGACUCGGUUUCGGAACUGAGACAGUGGGAUGUGAUCACCAGAACUGUCCCUCCGAAAGAUGGUGGAGGUGCUGAGGUCUCUCUCCAUGCUCCAGGUGAGUGUCUGCUGUGUGAAACCUUGUGAGGGUGUGUAGGUACAUGGUAAAGUAGUGGAUCCCAUCCAUACCCCUUUGACCUGCGUGGCACCAGACAGAUCCAGGAGGGCUGCAAAGAAACAACAAUUGAAGGGAAGAAACAAGAGCACAGCAGAAGAGGGGAACAUCCCUUAGGGCCAAGAGAAACCACUAGAGACAGUGGAAGACAGCAUGUGGUAAAAUCUUAGAUACGCCGUAGACCACAGCCAACUAAAUCUGGGCCUGUCCUCAUCUCACUGAGCACAGGGAAGUGAACAGUUACAUCAAACUCAUGGCUAUUCUUCUUGCUUCUCUCUGGACACUGGCCAGUUCUCAAUUCCUUCUCAGUACUGAGAGACACAAAUUCUGCUCCUAGUAACUGCAUCACAGCUGCAGCCCCCAUGAGAACUUCAGGAGCAGCUCUUAUUCCUGCUCCCUUGCCACAGCCUUCAUGCACUACUUCUGCUGCUCGGCUUUCUGCUUAUACUCACAGGAUGACUCAAACAGCAGUGGCCUGUCCCUCCACUGCUGACACUGCUUGUUCUGACAGCAUCGUCCUGUACCCCCUGAACGAGAGGAAGGGUGAACAAAUCACAUUUACUGAGUCACUGUAAUAAGAGUGUGCGUAAGACUCAGUAUUUGCACUCCUUAGCAUCAUUAGCUUCUUAUGAAACUUCCCUAUUGCUCACAAAGGCAGCAGUGCAGGAAAGUGCAAGGAAAAGCCCUUCUCUGUGCAGCAGCUCUCUCUCUGAGCCACAGGAGGGGCCCUUCAGGUGCAGGGGGGGUUUGUGGAUCUCUGUCCACAGAGUCAGCCGAGGGGGCUGCUGCAGCUGAGCUCUGUGGAAGCUUAUUUCUGACAGCACCAGCAAAAUACUCAUCCCUGAGAUGAUAUUUUUAAAAGCAACAUUUCCUCCCUGUGAUGCUUAUUAAACUGAGCUGCUUCCUGAGACUUCCAGAAGAACAACAUCAUUUCUCACACUGAAGGAGGUAGAGCUGAAUAGACAGAAACCUGCAGAGCUAUGUUUGGAAGCAACAGAGUAGUUGAGAGAGAGAUUUGUAUUAUCAGCAAUGCAUGAAAAAAAAGAGUUCUUACACUCUGGUCUAUUUGUAAAACAGUUGAAUACCCCCUUCCUAGCCUGCUGGCACCAUCAUUCCUGGUAGCAUAGAAGCACCAAGCAGGCAGGUAUCUGCCUUUACUGGUCUGAACUAAUGGAUUUGGAACAUAUGAUCAAACCCAAUCUCUUGCAUUAGCCUUGGAGAAUUUCAGCUCUGACCUAGAUUCCUUGGCUGGUAUUUGUCUCAGCCAAAUAAGUAUGCUGCCAGGACCCAAAUGGGCACAGGAGGAGGGAGUGUAGACUUUGUGAUGCUUCAUUUAUUCUCCCACUCUUUCCAGUUUUCUGUCCAGUGAGACCAUUAUCUCACAUCAGCAGCACUUUACCUGAAUUUAGAUAGACAUGGCUCACCUCUAUCUGUGCCUGUUUUUCUCAUUCUGCCUUCCCCCUCUUUCCCCAGAAAGACACAGGUUGUGUUCCACUGCAUUAUCCCACAAUAAAUGUGAAAUGUGGAACAUACUUCAACAUGUUUGCAUCAGGAGCAAUUCCUCGCUUCUGUAAGCAACUUGUCUGAGCACCUUUCUGUUUCCUGAGACCUUCCUUUGCCAAUCUCAGCUGUCCCAAGAGCAGCACAUAUAUCAUGGGCAUACGCAUUGAAGCCAGGAUUCCACUGUCCCCUCUUCUAAUGCACGUAGAGUGCCAGGACAUCAGGAGUAACCAAGGGGAAUUAUGUGUGCCUGCAUGUCACAGUUACGGUUAUAUCUCUUCUUCCCAGGACCACAGUAGCAGAGCAAUGGAGAUGCAUUACUAAACAGGAACCAAAGAAUUGCUCAGGUUGGAAAAGACCCUCAAGAUCAUCCAGUCCAACCACCCACCUGCCAAAUUCUAGAAGAAUGUGCACGUUCCAGCUUCUCAAAGAUAGUUCUGGGAAGUAACACCACAUCAGACUUGUCCUCUACAAGAGAUCCUGAAAGGUCCUGCUUUGUUCAGCUGUGGCACAUGGAGCCAACCUGCCUAACUCUGCCCCAUCUGCUGCACUCUCAGAAGCAGCUGGGUGUCCCUGAUAGGAACCUCUCCAAUGAAGACUUGUGACCUGUCAGGCUCUAUUUUUCAAGUAGAAACAAAUGGCUUUCCACACUGCACAACUUUCAAAACUGAAAAUAAUUCUCCUACUCUCUUAAUUCUGAUUUUCCUUCUCAUACAAAGAAGCUGUUACUCACCCCUGCAGCCAACGAAAGCCAUCACCACCACUGCCAGCAGCACCACCGCUCCCAUCUUCCCUGGGCUGGGGCUCCGCUCUCCUCCUCCCAAGCUUGUUGAGAGAUCUCCACACUUGGACCAGAAGACAAGUCAAGAACACUUCCCUUUCUUCUGUCCUAUGUCAUCUGGGACCCAGGCUGAUCUGCUGUCCUUUUUCCUUCCUUCUUUUUGAAAUAUCACGAGUCCACUCACUGAGGUGAAGGAUGACCAAAGGCUGCAAGGAUCUAUCUCUUCCCAUUUCAAAUCCCAUCCCCACCCUCUUCUCUUGCCUUUUUCUGACUAAUACUCUAUUUUUAUACCUCCCCCCCCCCCCCAUGGUUUCAUAUAUAUUUCUUUUUUCCUUUUAAUUUUCUUCCAGUUAUUCCGUGUUUGCAUUCACUCCAUAAUGAAAUUGCUUUGUGAUGGCAAGGUAAUCAAGUACUCAGUAACAAGGGAAAGCAAACUGGAGAAUGCUUGAAAAGCCAGACAUUCAGCUACCUGUGACUUGAGUGCAAUGAUAUGGCUCAGCAUCUCCUCCCUUCACACUCAAGGGCCCAAAACCAGGCAUCCAGAAAUGGCAAAGUACAGCAGCCUUCUCAAGGGAGGUGUGAGCACACCAACUCACCGCACAUCAAGCAGGAGCACAAGGCACAGAUCAACCUGCUGGUGUUCCAUUUGUUUCCUUGGUGCCUUCUUUGCGGAUGAUACUGUGCUCUUCCACCAUGCACACACAGUACUUCAGCAGCACAUUAUGUACAGGUCAGUCUGUGGCCCCAGGGAGGAAAAGGAAUAGCCAGAGUUCCUUUGCCUAACAGAGCCGUCUAGACCAGAAAAACUUUUUUUGCUUGUUUGCUUUUCCUUUUCUCCUGUUUCAACAGAAGUGUUUAAAAAAAAAAAAAAAAAAAAAAAAAAGUACACAUCCACAUCCUGCUCUUUACUAUGAAAGGAAUUUCCCUGCAAAAGCUGCAUUUUUCUCCACCUGCCUAGAAACCGUGCCCUGUUGUGAUGCAGCCGCAGAGGUACUUCCCAAAACAGCAUGGGAAGGUGCACGGCAAAGAUCAGCAACCCGGAGUCAUCUACACUUAAUGCUACAGCAGCUUUUAGCACUCAUAGGUGAGCAUCACUGCUUGCUGCUCCCAUUUUCAGAGCAUCACUGGUUAUCUUGGCUCACUUUUCUGCUGUGGUCAUCUGGCUCAUGAGCAAAAGCCACUGUGUUUGCCCCACUUUGUGCUCUGCAAACACUCUGCAGUGUCUUGUAGGGAAAUGAUUUGUGGCUGCUGGCAGCGGGACUUCAGUCUAGGAGGUGUUCUGGGUACACACUGUGAAGGUACCUUUAAAAGUAGAUCAAAAUGUUACCAGUAGGCGUCAUGCAUGUUAUUAUCCUGUGUUCAGUGUAUUAUUAUUAACAGAAGGAGUGUAGAGAGUGUUUUUUACAGCUAGUUAGCUGAGAUGGGUCAUAAACACAGUGCAGCUAGACAAACAGCCGUAUCACCUGCAAGAGCAGUUAGGAUAACAAGAUGCCCUGGGAUGGUGAGAAACUAGCCAUGGUUUUGGGAACUCAGCAAGGGAGUAGCUUUCAGUUGAUAACAACAAGCUGUUAAGAUACUCGGGGAUGGUAUGUAAUUGGGAACCAAUGAUGAGCUCCACUUUUGCAAUAUGUAUGAGCUAAUUAUCCGUAUUAUAAAGGUACACGCAGCCAAGGAAUAAACGAGAAUAGCUGAUCAUAUGUCAAUGA
Molecule: non-coding RNA, 10304 nt
Organism: Coturnix japonica (Japanese quail)
Lineage: Eukaryota; Metazoa; Chordata; Aves; Galliformes; Phasianidae
Source: RefSeq, a predicted model, not a curated record